GUCCGCCAGAAAAUUACGGGCGAAAGCCUAAAACUCAAAAGACUUGACGGUGUCUCAACCUACCUAGAGGAGCCUGUUCCAUAAUCGACAACCCCCGAUAAACCCGACCAUCCUUAGAUUAUUCAGCCUAUAUACCGCCGUCGUCAGCUUACCUUCCUAAAGCACUAAAGUAAGCUAAAUAGUUAAACACUAACAAGUCAGGUCAAGGUGUAGCUUAUAGAAUGGAGGAAAUGGGCUACAUUUUUUAACUUAAACUAAACGAAUUUUAACCUGAAAAAGAAAAUAAAGGCGGAUUUAGCAGUAAUCUAAACAAGAACAUUUAAAUUAA
RNAcentral lists this ribosomal RNA (328 nucleotides) under Riama balneator. Its description in RNAcentral is "partial 12S ribosomal RNA". It matches the Rfam family "Bacterial small subunit ribosomal RNA", at positions 867 to 1366 of the family's 1533-position model. Lineage: Eukaryota; Metazoa; Chordata; Lepidosauria; Squamata; Gymnophthalmidae. The record is from RNAcentral.